This 443-nucleotide ribosomal RNA is filed under the name uncultured bacterium. RNAcentral's name for it is "bacterial SSU rRNA". It matches the Rfam family "Bacterial small subunit ribosomal RNA", at positions 30 to 507 of the family's 1533-position model. The record is from RNAcentral.
AUUGAACGCUGGCGGCAGGCUUAACACAUGCAAGUCGAACGGACUACUUCGGUAGUUAGUGGCGAACGGGUGAGUAAUGCCUAGGAAUCUGCCCAUUAGCGGGGGAUAACGUGUGGAAACGCACGCUAAUACCGCAUACGCCCGUACGGGGGAAAGCAGGGGAUCUUCGGACCUUGCACUAAUGGCUGUGCGGCUGAUUAGGUAGUUGGCGGGUAACGCCACCAAGCCUGCGAUCAGUAACUGGUGUGAGAGCACGACCAGUCACACGGGCACUGAGACACGGGCCCGACUCCUACGGGAGGCAGCAGUAAGGAAUAUUGCACAAUGGACGAAAGUCUGAUGCAGCAACGCCGCGUGGAGGAUGACACAUUUCGGUGCGUAAACUCCUUUUAUAUGGGAAGAUAAUGACGGUACCAUAUGAAUAAGCACCGGCUAACUCCGUG